GCGGCGCUUCCCCCACCCGCUAAUGUUUUGGCCGAUUCAAGAUGGCGGUGCAGGAGUCAGCUGCUCAGCUCUCCAUGACCCUGAAGGUGCAGGAGUACCCGACCCUCAAGGUACCCUACGAGACGCUGAAUAAGCGCUUUCGGGCUGCUCAGAAAAACAUCGACCGAGAGACGAGCCACGUCACCAUGGUGGUGGCCGAGCUGGAGAAGACCUUGAGCAGCUGCCCCGCCGUGGACUCCGUGGUCAGCCUUCUGGACGGCGUGGUGGAGAAGCUUAGCGUCCUCAAGAGGAAGGCGGUGGAGUCCAUCCAGGCGGAGGACGAGAGCGCCAAGCUGUGCAAGCGCAGGAUCGAGCACCUCAAGGAGCACAGCAGCGACCAGCCCGCGGCAGCCAGCAUGUGGAAGCGGAAGCGCAUGGACCGCAUGAUGGUGGAGCACCUGCUGCGCUGCGGCUACUACAACACGGCCGUGAAGCUGGCCCGCCAGAGCGGCAUCGAGGACUUAGUGAACAUCGAGAUGUUCCUGACAGCCAAAGAAGUGGAGGAGUCCCUGGAGAGGCGCGAGACCGCCACCUGCCUGGCCUGGUGUCACGACAACAAGUCCCGGCUACGCAAGAUGAAGGGCCGCCAAAGCGAGCACGACGCGAAGACGGGACGGAAAAGUAGAGUGGCCAGUGGCUCCCCUAAAGAGAGUGAGGAUCUUGGUAUGGAAACCAUAAAAGGAAAGCCAGAAUUGGUAUGUAACACUCACCCUGCUGUCCCGCUCCAGCCCCCACAGCUGUGCCGCACGGCGGGGACCGGGCCAGGAGGGACGGAGGCCUCCCACCCGGACAGCCGCUUUCUGCGAUGCCCCCAGACCUCGCAGCCGCUGUGGGGGCAGGCGGGCGGGCGGGCGGCCCAGGCCACGAUGGCAGGUCCCUGUCACCAGCCCGUGCGCUGUGAAGCACGCAGCCAGCCACCCCGACGUGCGUCGGGCGUGAAGACUCGCCUGCUGUGAAGCGUCGUCUGAACGGGGCAGGGCAGUGGAGUGCCCACACACUCUUGCGCUCGCACACACAGGCUGGGGAGGGGCCGUGCGGGACCUCCGCAGACCCUCAGAGCAGUCAGGAGCCCUAGGCAGGACAACAGACUUUGGGGCCCAAGUUUCCCGUGGCUGGAAACACCCCUGGGAUAGUGGGCGUGCCGAGCGAGCGUCGGUGACCCUGGUGUCCAGACGCUUCAGGGCGGUCAGAGCAGCAGCCUGCGCGCGGCGGGUCCAGAAAGCUGGCGGAGGCGUAGCCGUGGAGGCGCCGGCCUCCCCCAGGUGGCACCCGAGGGUCGCUCUUCAGCCCUCGGUGCUUGGCGCGCUCACCUGGCGCCGCGCUGGCUUCCGCGGGAGUCCGGGCCCCUAACUGUCAGCGGUCUGUGUGCGCCUGUCGGGCGGUCGGGAAGGUCAGCUGCGAGCGCAGAGCCCUAGGAGGCAGUGAACACGUCUGCAUGGCAGUUGUGUGACGCUGUGGUGGGGUUGGCCGUGACGUUGCUCACUGAGACGUGCCCCUGCGGGCCCCCCCUGUUGUUAGAGCUCCGGGCCACCCCUGAGCGCAGAGGCGGUCGUCAGCUGCCCCGGGAGGCAGGCAGGGCACCUCCCUCUGGUCCCCCCACCCCCCAUGGCUUCCGCUGGCCUGGCCUCGGGAGGGAGCAAGGCACUGGGGCUGGGACCGCCUUUCUGUUUAUGGUUGGCGCCGUGCCCACCACUCAGCACACGGCAUCUGCUCCAUCCAGUGGGGCGUGGGACAGACGACUGCCUUGGUGCAGAGAGGAGCAGGGGUGAGGGCAGGGAAACCCGCCUUGCCUGAGCACCUGUGCUGUGGACGUGCUGGGCACCAGGUAGGUGGUCCUCUGCACCCUUGCGUCUGGCGGCCCCCAGGUAGGUGCCACGGGCCGGUGCUCCGUCCUCCUGUUUGUGGAGGCGUCCUCACGGCGUCCGGCUGCGACCCUGCAUCAGAACGCGCGUGUGCAGAGGCCCAGGUGGGGAAAGUUCACAUGAUCGGCAACCUUGAGUUACUGUUCAGACACCUGGAGUUUGGCAAACUUGAGUUAUGGUUCAGACACCUGGGGCUGACCACCUGCCUCGCCGUGUGGAGUUCGGUCCGUGCGUCCUGCGAUCCAGGCACUAGGAAAGGCAAAGUGACAGAUAAGUGGAAAACCCAGAGAUUUUCCUCUUCUGUUCACUCCUCUUACUCUGUUUCUGGGGGGACGUAGUGUCCUCUGAAGCCACGAAGAUACUAUAGUUUCAGCUGCCACUUUUGCAGAAUAAUCCGGGUUUUCAUCUUAGGUCUCAGAAGUUGAAUUUGCCUCCUUUCACCCAUCCCCCGUCAUAUAGAGUGUGAGCCCAAUUGGACUGGUAUCUUUUAAGAUUUCAGGGUUGGCGUUUGGGCCUCCACACAAAUGACCACGCUGCUGGUUCACUGUGUCAGCUGCCCCUCACUGCCCAUGAGGCCCCCAGGCCCUCUGCAAAUGCGGCCACCCUCUUCCUCUGCCUAGAACAUUCUCCCCAGGGGUCCCUCCGCACCGUCCCCACCCCCACCCACCCCGAGGGUUGUCAUCCCGUGUCCCUGCCCAGAGACCUGGGUUUUCUCCCCUGCUCCCCGCUUGCCGCCCCUGCUUAUGCUCCCCUGUGAGACGGCGCCCCCCAGCCUCUCCCCGACCGGGUGUCAGGGCCUGCGGUGGGGACCGGCCUGGCUGCCCCAAAGCAGGUUGAGGUGGUCAGUGCCGUGCGGGAUGCUGAGGCGAGGUCCCUGGGGCGGAGGCUCGGAGAGCGUGCCCGCGCUCGUGACUUCGUGCGGAUGAGCCAGCGGAGAGAGCUGCCCCGUCCUGGUAGCGGGGUUGGAAACGUGUCUUCCCGGGGCCGCCUCACACGGGAAGUCGUGUCCUAUGCCCUCCGUACCGCUGGCGGUCUCCAGCAUCCUCUUCUUCAGGUGGCGCCUGUCCGGCUGUCCUGAGCCUGGCCUGUGGGUGCACACUCAGGGCCCUGGGCUCCUGGGGACGUGUGGACUGCAGGCUGACACUACAGUUUUGGCAUCAGCCCCACCCCCCUGCUGGCUCUAAGCUCUCUUGGCCCGGUGAGCAGUGUCCGGCCGGUCUGGCAGGGUCGGUCCGUGGGCGUGACUCUGUGGUGACACUACCCAGGCCUGUCUUGUCUCUACCCCCAGAGCUGCCUGGAAUUCAGCCUAAGGAUUCAGGAGUUCAUUGAACUCAUCCGGCAGAACAAGAGACUGGAUGCGGUGAGACACGCGAGAAAGCAUUUCAGUC
Suricata suricatta (meerkat) is the source of this 3289-nucleotide RNA transcript. It is a transcript of the gene named macrophage erythroblast attacher, with no coding region annotated. NCBI's taxonomy places the organism in Eukaryota, Metazoa, Chordata, Mammalia, Carnivora, Herpestidae. The transcript is spliced from 6 exons. The record is from RefSeq and is a predicted model, not a curated record.